Molecule: ribosomal RNA, 305 nt
Filed under: uncultured bacterium
Lineage: Bacteria
Description: bacterial SSU rRNA
Rfam family: Bacterial small subunit ribosomal RNA
Source: RNAcentral
UAGCCUACGGGGCGCAGCAGUGGGGAAUAUUGCACAAUGGGGGAAACCCUGAUGCAGCGACGCCGCGUGAGCGAUGAAGUAUUUCGGUAUGUAAAGCUCUGUCAGCAGGGAAGAAAGAAAUGACGGUACCUGACCAAGAAGCCCCGGCUAACUACGUGCCAGCAGCCGCGGUAAUACGUAGGGGGCAAGCGUUAUCCGGAAUUACUGGGUGUAAAGGGAGCGUAGACGGUUAAGUAAGUCUGGAGUGAAAGGCCGGGGCCCAACCCCGGGCCUGCUCUGGAAACUAUUGAACUUGAGUGCAGGAG